UUAUUUAAUAUAUAAAAAGUAUACUUAACUUCCAAUUAAGAAGAUCAAAAAUGAAAUAAAUAAU
Molecule: transfer RNA, 64 nt
Filed under: Signoretia aureola
Lineage: Eukaryota; Metazoa; Arthropoda; Insecta; Hemiptera; Cicadellidae
Description: tRNA-Gly
Source: RNAcentral